This 64-nucleotide small nuclear RNA is filed under the name Salvator merianae (Argentine black and white tegu). The record is from RNAcentral. Lineage: Eukaryota; Metazoa; Chordata; Lepidosauria; Squamata; Teiidae.
GUGCUCGCUUCAGCAGCACAUAUACUAAAAUUGGAAUGAUACAGAGAAGAUUAGCAUGGCCACU